GAGACUUUAGUUUAAUUGGUAAAAUUUGUGACUUUUAAUCAUCAAUACGCUGGUUCAAGUCCCGCAGGUCUUAC
RNAcentral lists this transfer RNA (74 nucleotides) under Lecanora saxigena. RNAcentral's name for it is "tRNA-Lys". It matches the Rfam family "tRNA". From Rfam's summary of the family: Transfer RNA (tRNA) molecules are approximately 80 nucleotides in length. Their secondary structure includes four short double-helical elements and three loops (D, anti-codon, and T loops). The record is from RNAcentral. Lineage: Eukaryota; Fungi; Ascomycota; Lecanoromycetes; Lecanorales; Lecanoraceae.